GAGUUUGAUCCUGGCUCAGAUGAACGCUGGCGCGUGCUAACACACGCAAGUCGACGAAGUCGCUUUUCCGGAACGUCUCGGAGGAAGGGAAGUGACUGAGUGGCGACGGUGAGUAACGCUGGGCAACCUGCCCAUACAGGGGAUACAGCCGAAACGGCUGCUAAUACCGCAUAAGCGCACGGGACCGCAUGGUUCUGUAGUGAAAACAAUAGUGGUAUGGAGGGGCCCGCGUCUGAUUAGCCAGUUGCGGGGUAGAGGCCCACCAAAGCGACGAUCAGUAGCCGGCCUGAGAGGCGGACGGCCACAUUGGGACUGAGACACGGCCCAAACUCCUACGGGAGGCAGCAGUGGGGGAUAUUGCACAAUGGGGGAAACCCUGAUGCAGCGACGCCGCGUGGACGAAGAAGUAUUUCGGUAUGUAAAGUCCUAUCAGCAGGGAAGAAGAAAUGACGGUACCUGACUAAGAAGCCCCGGCUAACUACGUG
This 485-nucleotide ribosomal RNA is filed under the name uncultured Lachnospiraceae bacterium. RNAcentral's name for it is "bacterial SSU rRNA". It matches the Rfam family "Bacterial small subunit ribosomal RNA", at positions 9 to 507 of the family's 1533-position model. The record is from RNAcentral. Lineage: Bacteria; Bacillati; Bacillota; Clostridia; Lachnospirales; Lachnospiraceae.